RNAcentral lists this ribosomal RNA (440 nucleotides) under uncultured bacterium. Its description in RNAcentral is "partial 16S ribosomal RNA". It matches the Rfam family "Bacterial small subunit ribosomal RNA", at positions 338 to 795 of the family's 1533-position model. The record is from RNAcentral.
CCUACGGGAGGCAGCAGUAGGGAAUUUUGCGCAAUGGGCGAAAGCCUGACGCAGCAACGCCGCGUGAUCGAGACGCCCUUCGGGGUGUAAAGAUCUGUCAGUGGGGACGAAACUAGACGGUACCCACUGAGGAAGCACCGGCUAACUCCGUGCCAGCAGCGGCGGUAAUACGGGGGGUGCAAGCGUUGUCCGGAAUCAUUGGGCGUAAAGAGUUCGUAGGCGGCACGUAAAGGCUGGUGUUAACGGCAGAGGCUCAACUUCUGUACGGCAGUGGAUACUUGCGAGCUAGAGUGCGGUAGAGGUAAAGGGAAUUCCUGGUGUAGCGGUGAAAUGCUUAGAUAUCAGGAGGAACAUCGGUGGCGUAAGCGCUUUACUGGACCGUAAUUGACGCUGAGGAGCGAAAGCCAGGGUAGCAAAUGGGAUUAGAUACCCCUGUAGUC